UACGAAGGUCCCAAGCGUUAUCCGGAUUUAUUGGGUUUAAAGGGUGCGUAGGCGGGCUAUUAAGUCAGUGGUGAAAGCCCCAAGCUUAACUUGGGAACUGCCCUCCAAACUGCUUGGCUUGAGUCCGGGAGAGGUGAGUGGAAUUCCCAGUGUAGCGGUGAAAUGCGUAGAUAUUGGGAGGAACACCAGUGGCGAAGGCGGCUCACUGGACCGGAACUGACGCUGAGGCGCGAAAGCGUGGGGAGCAAACGGG
Molecule: ribosomal RNA, 253 nt
Filed under: uncultured bacterium
Lineage: Bacteria
Description: partial 16S ribosomal RNA
Rfam family: Bacterial small subunit ribosomal RNA
Source: RNAcentral